UUAUGUAAUUCUGUGUACACUUGUGGGCAGAAUUUGCCUCCUAUUAAGAAGGUACCCAAUAGUGAAACUUUAUCUGCAUUAUCACUCAAACUAUUCCAUGAAAACGAUUGAUUUGUCAUGGUACGCAUUAAAAGCAUCCUUAUAUGUGAUUUAUUUAUACACUUUACCCCAUUUUAGAGCCCUUCAGCUUUUCCUAUUAAUAGGAUUGUCAUUUUAUAUAUAUGGAUGGAUUCUUGGUAUAGUUUGGCUUUGAGCCAUAACGUUAUCUAUCCUUUUAACUCUUUGGAAACGUUCACUUAUCUUCAGCGCAUUAGUGCAGGUUCAAUUUUGUUUCAAGUUCGAGAUGACAAAGGUCACUUCAUUAGGGCCCUCAAUUGCCUCACUUGCCUGCAGUCCUCAAGUAUCUUAUACAAAGGACCAUAAAAAGAUGUUCUGCUUCCAUUACCAAAAAGUGAGAAGGGAAGAGAAAGCCAAUUAUUUGCAGCCCAUAAAAUCCUUAUGAUAAUUUGGAAGACUUUAAUUAAACUAAUACAUCAUCCUACACUUAUAAAGACAAAGGAGGAAAAAAGGGAGGAACAUAAUCUUUUUUUUUUUUCAUCUGUUGAGAAACACCAUAUUGCUUUGUGAUUAAGUGCUUUAAGCAUUGUGACCUAUUUUAAAAUCUAAGAUUUGCAGUCCUUUUCAUAUAAUAUUAAAUAUAUUAAAAAAUUGAUGCAAUAUUGAUUAGAACAAUGCCCUCCACCAAAGCUUGGGAUGAAGCUAUAUUAAAGCUUGGUUUAAAAGCAAUUUGUAUUAUUUUCUUAUGAUUUUUAAACUCUUCAAAAUAAAGAUCCUAAAAAAAAAGAUUUUUUUAAUCACAAAGAAUGUUGUUUUGUUAUUUUACUCUUAUUUUAUGUUUUGCUUAUAGCCUUAUGGAUAAGCCUACUGGUGUUAUUUACAUAAAAUCUACUUCUAAUGGUAAUAAAGUAUAGAUUGUUGAGUCUGGUAAGCCACAAAUCACAUUAAAAUGGGAUUAUAUUCAGUUUUCACCCACUAAACAGACCACAUAACCAGUGUGCCAAAUUUUAAUUUUUGAGCCUGCUUUCCUGUAAGCUCAAAACUGGCUGGGUAGAUUUCUUUUUCUUCUGAGAACCUAAGUGUUUUCUGAGCUAUGGUUGUGUUCUUUUCUGUUUACUUUGCUUAUUGCUGGUGCUUAGACUGGUGGUUGUUCAGGGCUCUCCACAUGUCUCACCAUUUUCCAGACUGGUGCAGCUUCUGUGGCAUUUGAGGAUAGUGUAGCUUCCUCUUACCAUCUUCUCAUGAGCACCUCCUCCCUUUUUUGUAGGCAUGUUAUUGCUGUCUUUAGCACACAAAGAGUAGCUAGUACUGCUGUUGUGUUCAAGGGUAGUCAGUCAAUAGCAUGGUCUAAAGAGAAUAAUAAUGGUAGUUGAAGCUUGUAUCAUUUAUCUUUGUAUUGUGAGCUUUAAGAGCAAAAACAUGAUAUUCCACUUUGGUCCUGGGUGAAUGAAACUGUAGAACUAAGAUACCUUCUAUACAUUUUUAGUUAUAUUGUGAAUAGAUAGAAGUAUUGGGACUGAUAUCUAUCACUCUUGGAUUCACAAAUUUUUUAUUAGAGAUGGUUACUUAAAAUUAAAAUUCUAAGAAAAAUGAACUAAAUGUGAAAGAAACCCUUCAAUAUGAAUAGUAAAACAGAAGAGAAAACUCCAACUCUAACAUUACCUUAGCUUUAUUUAAACAUAUAGCUUAGUUGCAUGCUUUAUCUCUAGAGUUAUUAGCAUGUUGUCUACAUACAAUGUUUAGAAGGAUGGGUUUGUUCCUCCUAUCACACUGCAUGCUAUUAUAUGUAGGUAUAUUUGAGCUAAGGAAAGGAAAACGGGAAGUGCCCAAGACAACCUUAAGAGGAAAUCGCCAGUGUACACAGAGAUGUCUCACUGCUUCUGACACUAUCUCUUCUUUAACAGUUGCCUUUCUCCAGUACAAUUCUUACCCUGUCCGUGGGCCCAUAGCCUAGACACAUUCUAAGUAGACCAGCCAAUAAACUCCUUUCUUGUCACCCUCAUGAGUCUUCCUCUGAUUAUUUGGCGCUCUCAGAAUCUUACCCUCUUGGGUUUCAUCUUUGUCUCCCCUCAGUGGCUAAGUCAUUUGUACUCAUGUUUUUAUGGGUUUCUUUAAAAGACU
Molecule: long non-coding RNA, 2178 nt
Filed under: Mus musculus (house mouse)
Lineage: Eukaryota; Metazoa; Chordata; Mammalia; Rodentia; Muridae
Description: long non-coding RNA chr5:57778872-57781050
Source: RNAcentral